Molecule: small nucleolar RNA, 104 nt
Organism: Suncus etruscus (white-toothed pygmy shrew)
Lineage: Eukaryota; Metazoa; Chordata; Mammalia; Eulipotyphla; Soricidae
Product: small nucleolar RNA U13
Exons: 1
Source: RefSeq, a predicted model, not a curated record
AUCAUUUUCCAUUGCAUGAAUAGGAUGGUUGAGUAUUCACCUGUUUGUGUUUUAUGUGCCUCCCUUAAAUCUUGUUAUGAUAUUGGCUCAUUACCUGUAUGACA